RNAcentral lists this non-coding RNA (116 nucleotides) under uncultured Amoebophrya. Lineage: Eukaryota; Dinophyceae; Syndiniales. The record is from RNAcentral.
AAAAUUCUUCGUUUCUUUAAUUUUUCAGUCUGCGCAAAUCUUUCUGGUGGUCAGUAUGUAUCUGGAUAAAAACAGGAAAAAUUUCAAUCUGUAACAAGAACUAUCUAUCAGUAUAU